This is a long non-coding RNA of Brassica napus (rape), 1249 nucleotides long. RefSeq lists it as uncharacterized. The record is from RefSeq and is a predicted model, not a curated record. Lineage: Eukaryota; Viridiplantae; Streptophyta; Magnoliopsida; Brassicales; Brassicaceae. The transcript has 4 exons.
CGGAUCUUGGAGACACGUGUUAGAAGAAGAAGAGUUUGGGUUUCUCUUUCUCUCUCCCGAAGGAUGAGUUCGACGUUGAGUCAAUUCCAUCUCUUCCUCGGUUGAUCUCUCAUCGAUACGUUUGCUGGAAGGUCCGUCGGAAGCUCCGAGGGUGAGGAUCGGCGAGAUUCUUCUAAGUUUGGUUUGGAAUCCGUGAUCCGCCCCGUCGAUUCGAUGCCUGAUAUGGCUAAGAAACCUUCUAACAAAGGUAGAUCAACUCUCAAGCUAUCGUAGAGGAAUAACUGCUUAGAAUCUAGAGAAUCUUACGAUCUGCCUUUGGAUUCAUUCUCUUGCGGUUAAUAUUGAUCGUUGAUCAUUGUUCUGAUCUUGGAUCGCAAUGUGUUUGAGUUACUAACGUCUUCUUGUUCACUGUAAUUGUUGAUGACGGUUGGAUCAUUGUUCUAAUCUUGGAUCGCAAUGUGUUCUGAUCUUGGAUGGCUAUUUGAUUGACUUACGGAGUUCUUUAUUGUUCACUGGACUUAUUGAUGAUGGUUGGUUAGGUUACUCUAUGAUCUCUCUGAAAUUGAUAUACAUUGUGAUCAUUAUUGUACCAAUGCAGGAAUCUUUGUUAUACGGCAGACACCAAGAGAGUCCCUAAACCCUUUUUCACUGAAAUUGAUAUACUCUAUGAUCUCUCUUGAUGUCUUUAAAUGUUCAGAGUUGUCUGUUUGGAUGAUAUCUGGAGAGAGAAGAUGAAAAUGUCUACGAGGUUCAUCGUUCUGAUCACCAUGUCACCAGUGAUGAGCCUUGGAACAGCCGCGACGGAAGAAGAUGGAGCACUUGUUGCUUAGUUGUUUGGCUCUGUGGGGUAGAUGUUCAAAGCUGAUGAGAAAAUGUUUGAUGCUGUCACUGGUCUCAGUGGAAGUUGACCAGUGUACAUAUUCCUAGCCAUUGAAGCUUUAGCUGAUGGAGGAGUAGCUGUUGGUUUACCCCGAGAACUCGCACUCGGUUUAGCUUCACAGAUGGAGCAGAUUAUCCUGUCUCUCACACAGCUUUUGAUUCCUAUGAUUGGAUGAUUCACAAUGUAGAUCCGUUGUUUCAUCGUCAUGUUGCCAGUAACGCUUUGUUUUCUUCGUUAUUGUUCUAGUUUUCUCAUGGAUUCCCUUCUUUCAUCUCAUAUAUUCAUAUCUUGGUGAUUGAUUUUGUAGAAGUUAAAAGAACAAGCAUACAACAAUGUUUGAUUUUUUUUUAAGAACCUUUAACUAAGAAA